RNAcentral lists this unclassified non-coding RNA (335 nucleotides) under Hevea brasiliensis (rubber tree). Lineage: Eukaryota; Viridiplantae; Streptophyta; Magnoliopsida; Malpighiales; Euphorbiaceae. The record is from RNAcentral.
AAAAAAAAAAAAAAAGGCUGGGCACCUAUGAGUUAUAGUUUAAUGACACAUGAAUCUCGUUGCCUUUGGAAAAUCAUUUAUUGAAAAUAUUGCUGUAGAGUAUUGCACCAUUUGACAACACUUUGAAUAUAUGCCUUAUUAUUGCUAGCUCCAACUGCUAAAGCUUGCAGCUUUCUUCUCUUAAAAUUUAGCUUUUUUCUGAGAUGGAUAAGCACAUUAACAUAUCGACAUGAUAGGAAUAUGAUCAUAGAUAAUAGAAUCUGCUAUUGAAUCUUAUUUAUUAAUACCUUAUAUUUCUUUUAUUUCUUUCAGAUUUACAUGUUUGCAGAAUGGUA